Molecule: ribosomal RNA, 118 nt
Filed under: uncultured bacterium
Lineage: Bacteria
Description: partial 16S ribosomal RNA
Rfam family: Bacterial small subunit ribosomal RNA
Source: RNAcentral
UACACACCGCCCGUCACACCAUGGGAGUGGGUUGCACCAGAAGUAGCUAGUCUAACCGCAAGGGGGACGGUUACCACGGUGUGAUUCAUGACUGGGGUGAAGUCGUAACAAGGUACCC